ACUACGCUUUUCAUGUGUCCUGCUGCGUGUUUUCCUCUUGAUCGGGAACUCCUGCUUCUCCUUGCCUCGCAAUGGACCCCAACUGCUCCUGCUCACCUGGUAAGGGACACCUAGCUCCGCGCCUUGGGAUGCCCGUUUCCCAGCCACAGUACAGACUGUUCCUGGGUUUGAAAAAGUCGCAUUUUAAGUUCUCAGCUGAAGGGGCUCCUUUAUUUCGUUAGGUGCUUUCUUCCCGAUCACGUCCCUGAGACCACUUCCCACCUCUCUGUGCCUCUAAGUUAGAGUUGAGGGUACUGAGGCCCAAGGCUGUCCUGCUCCAUGUCACCCAGUUGGUCAGGGAGCUGCUGGCUGAGCCCCAAUGCUCUGACCAGGCUCUGAGCAGUCAGGAUGGAUGGGAAGUAGGGGGCCAUUGCCUCUUCGGAGUUCAGGACAGAAGGUUCUGGCCUCCUGUCUUAGCCUUCCUGGGCUGUGUCUGGAGCCUGGGACCUUGCUCAUGGGGUAAAAGCAAGAGGACACUUGCCCUUCCCAAAAUGAAGGGAGAGAAGAUGGGGCUUCUCUUCCUCUCCCCUGAGUGGGAAAGGAGCUCUGAUGGCUGGUCCUGCAGCACAGAGGAGGGGGCACUGAAGCGUUAUUGACCAGCUGCUGUACCUUCUGCAUCUCACUCCCCACUCACUUCCUUUUUGUCUUCCUUGCAGGUGGUUCCUGUGCCUGUGCUGGCUCCUGCAAAUGCAAAGAGUGCAAAUGCACCUCCUGCAAGAAGAGUGAGUGAGGGGCCUUCCUUGCGAAUCUGGGGGAUGGGCCAAGUUAGAGCAGGGAACCCAGAGCUCUGCAGGCAGGGGCAGGCCAAUGACCAGCUUCCCCAAACCCCUCCUUCAACACCUGAUUCAGAAUCAGACCUCAAGUUGCCUUAAAAAUGGGUGAGUCCCAGCCUCUUAUUACCAAACUAGAAACUGAGGCCCAGUGUUGGGAACAAAGCUCUCCUGCCUCCUGAUGCAGCCUUCUUAACCCUUCUGGGUCCUGAAGCACUUAAGGCCCAGGAUCUGGAAGACCCCGGGUGAUUUCAAACCUAAUGAUUCAGCCCUUUCCUGCAGGGGCAGCCCAGAGCUUCCCUAGCCUUCCCCAGAACUGCUGUCAGGGGUUUGCCCCCUGUCUGGUUGUGAAGACUUUCCUCAUUUAAGUGUAGGUUUUGGGGAACUGGCCUCCUUUUGUUGCUGUACCCCCAAUCACUACCUGUCCAGUCUUCUGUCCUGUCCCAGACUCAGGUGAGGCUGGGCAGCUUUUUCAUAUAAAACCCUCAUCCCAAAGAUCCACCAGUUCUCUUCUGACAAAGCCAUGCCAUCCUGAAAUUAUGGUCCUCUGGGGCUGGAGGCGGGGCUCGAGCCAGGCCUCUGUUGGGGCAGGGAGGUGCCUGAUUGAGUCUGCUCUGACCUCUCACUCUCCCUUUCUUCCCCAGGCUGCUGCUCCUGCUGCCCUGUGGGCUGUGCCAAGUGUGCCCAGGGCUGCAUCUGCAAAGGGACGUCAGACAAGUGCAGCUGCUGUGCCUGAUGUCAGGACAGCCCUGCUCUCAAAUGUAAAUAGAGCAACCUGUAUAAACCUGGAUUUUUUUUUUUUUUUUUUUUUUUUUUUUGUGCAACCCUGACCCGUUUGCUACAUCUGUUUUUCUAUGAAAUAUGUGAAUGGCAAUAAAUUCAUCUAGACUA
RNAcentral lists this small RNA (1700 nucleotides) under Pongo abelii (Sumatran orangutan). Its description in RNAcentral is "retained intron". The record is from RNAcentral. Lineage: Eukaryota; Metazoa; Chordata; Mammalia; Primates; Hominidae.